Molecule: long non-coding RNA, 125 nt
Organism: Jaculus jaculus (lesser Egyptian jerboa)
Lineage: Eukaryota; Metazoa; Chordata; Mammalia; Rodentia; Dipodidae
Exons: 2
Source: RefSeq, a predicted model, not a curated record
GGGGUCCGCGCCGCCCUUCCAGUGCCUGCGCCGGUGCCCGGCCUGGGCAUGCGUGCUGCAGCCUCCCUCCCGGUGAAGCCCAGCACGGAUGCUUUUCUUAUCGCAAUAAAAUGAUCCUGAUUUUA